UUGAAAGGGAAACGAUUGAAGUCAGUCGUACCUUCGGGUAAUCAGCCUUUCGGGUGCGAUUCUGUGGAGCGUGAGGAGUUAAACGCCUUCAUGCCUGCAUAUUCGUGCACUUUGGGUGUACUUGCCCGUGUGGUAGGUUAACAUCAAUUUCGGAUGUCAUAAAAUGGCUGGAGGAAUGUAGCUUCGGUCUCGUACUGAAGUGUUAUAGCCUUUGGUAGAUGUGAUGACCGGGAUUGAGGAUUGCAACGAAUACCUUUUGGGCUACCCGCCUGAUCUCUGAAAGUUGCUCUGGUGCCGAAAGCGUGCCUACGGUUAUCAAAGUUGACGUUCAAAAGGUUAGAACGGGUUAAAUUCGUUAAGGAUGUUGACGUA
RNAcentral lists this ribosomal RNA (372 nucleotides) under uncultured Rhizophagus. RNAcentral describes it as "LSU rRNA". Lineage: Eukaryota; Fungi; Glomeromycota; Glomeromycetes; Glomerales; Glomeraceae. The record is from RNAcentral.